CUGAGAUCCGCUUCCUGGGACUCAACUACAAGUACAUGGUGCCAUUUCUGCUCAAUCAAGGUGGAUCUGUCCUCUUCUACCUCACCUUGGCGUCCGCAGAUCUGUCCCUGGCAGUACCACUCUGUAACUCCCUGGCUUUGACAGUCACGCUGGUGACUGGGAGGAUUCUGGGAGAGGACAUUGGUGGUAAAAGGGCUGUGGCAGGAAUGCUGCUCACCAUCCUAGGAGUUGCGCUCUGUGUAGCUGGCUCGUGAACAAGAAGCAGUGAGAAGCAGAGGAAGAGAACCUGUUCAAAGGUAACCCCCUGUGGCUGAAGGGGGGGCUUCUGGCUCAGCAGCGGACCCUUUGGCUCAGUUACACCUAGGAAGCUGCAUUUUGACACACGGAUGUCAAAAAAACGUGAAAAUGUGGACUGUAUUCCCUGACACCAGGGUGGAACAAGGCAUGUUGCCAGGGCAUCCUAUUUAGUGUCUUGAGCUAUGGAAUUUUUUGUCUGUGGGUGCUUCAAGGCAAGGAUGAUUGAAUUGUCUUUGUUCAGCACUGGAGAGAUA
Gavia stellata (red-throated loon) is the source of this 551-nucleotide RNA transcript. RefSeq lists it as uncharacterized. The transcript has 4 exons. The record is from RefSeq and is a predicted model, not a curated record. Lineage: Eukaryota; Metazoa; Chordata; Aves; Gaviiformes; Gaviidae.